Eubalaena glacialis (North Atlantic right whale) is the source of this 73-nucleotide non-coding RNA. The record is from the annotation of a RefSeq genome assembly. Lineage: Eukaryota; Metazoa; Chordata; Mammalia; Artiodactyla; Balaenidae.
UCCCUGGUGGUCCAGUGGUGAAGACUCUGUGCUAUCACUGCAGCGGGCCUGGGUUCGAACCCUGGUUGGGGAA